CGAUGCGCAGCUUACACAUGCAAGUCGAGCGCACUCUUCGGAGUGAGCGGCGGACGGGUUAGUAACGCGUGGGAACGUGCCCUUCUCUAAGGAAUAGCCACUGGAAACGGUGAGUAAUACCUUAUACGCCCUUCGGGGGAAAGAUUUAUCGGAGAAGGAUCGGCCCGCGUUAGAUUAGAUAGUUGGUGGGGUAAUGGCCUACCAAGUCUACGAUCUAUAGCUGGUUUUAGAGGAUGAUCAGCAACACUGGGACUGAGACACGGCCCAGACUCCUACGGGAGGCAGCAGUGGGGAAUCUUGGACAAUGGGCGCAAGCCUGAUCCAGCCAUGCCGCGUGAGUGAUGAAGGCCUUAGGGUCGUAAAGCUCUUUCGCCAGAGAUGAUAAUGACAGUAUCUGGUAAAGAAACCCCGGCUAACUCCGUGCCAGCAGCCGCGGUAAUACGGAGGGGGUUAGCGUUGUUCGGAAUUACUGGGCGUAAAGCGCACGUAGGCGGAUCAGAAAGUAUAGGGUGAAAUCCCAGGGCUCAACCCUGGAACUGCCUUGUAAACUCCUGGUCUUGAGUUCGAGAGAGGUGAGUGGAAUUCCGAGUGUAGAGGUGAAAUUCGUAGAUAUUCGGAGGAACACCAGUGGCGAAGGCGGCUCACUGGCUCGAUACUGACGCUGAGGUGCGAAAGUGUGGGGAGCAAACAGGAUUAGAUACCCUGGUAGU
RNAcentral lists this ribosomal RNA (710 nucleotides) under Phaeobacter sp. RNAcentral's name for it is "bacterial SSU rRNA". It matches the Rfam family "Bacterial small subunit ribosomal RNA", at positions 40 to 794 of the family's 1533-position model. Lineage: Bacteria; Pseudomonadati; Pseudomonadota; Alphaproteobacteria; Rhodobacterales; Roseobacteraceae. The record is from RNAcentral.